This is a long non-coding RNA of Scatophagus argus, 783 nucleotides long. RefSeq lists it as uncharacterized. The record is from RefSeq and is a predicted model, not a curated record. The transcript has 3 exons. NCBI's taxonomy places the organism in Eukaryota, Metazoa, Chordata, Actinopteri, Scatophagidae.
UUUUCAGUUUUUCAAAAAAAAUACAUUAGGUUUGUUUGGAAGCUACUCCGCUUCACAACACAAAGAACGCAAUUUUUGCUGUCAACGACGUAAGCGUUCAUUGGUUAAUAUCCUGACGUUUAAGUAUUCUUUCCGCGGAUUGGUUAGAGAGCCGCUCAACGCUCAACUUCAGAGUAGUGACUUAACAUUAUCACAAGAUGUCGCACUUUACAAGUUCGAGAGUCAAAAUUCAGCCCAAGUCCUUUCAGUCCGUUUCAGCACUGCAUGUAAAGUCUGGUGAAAAGUUCUUCAUCAUGUUAAAGGGGAUUCUGUUCUCCAUAUCAAAACCACCCAACUACGUCCGCGAGUGAAGGUCCUGUAUUGAGACUGAGGUAACAAAGACCCUCAUUCUGCCUGACACCGAAGCCGUUGUCCCGGCUGGAGCGAGGUCUGUGUCCUGGGACAGAGCAGUGCCAGCCAGCAAGAGAUGAUCCAUCCGUCCUGGCAUAGUCUAGGUGCUGUUGCGAGCGCAGAUUAAAGGCGGCUCCGACCAGGCUGAAUCACACGCGAACCCUGGACCAAGUCAGUCAGUGCAAAAUGGGUACGAAAUGAGGAUUAUCCAAGUGAAAAUUUAGAUUUUUGUAUCUCCAUCUUCUGAGGCAGUUUCUUCACUCGGACUUGUGCUCAUCCUUCAUCUUUACUGACUGAAGUCUAUCCUUCAAAUUUGCCAUAAAACUAUACAAUACUACCUCACCUUUAUUAACUGAAUGGCUCUCUCUAUCAAUCUUUUGCAAUCUGAUCUAG